This 1477-nucleotide ribosomal RNA is filed under the name Lactobacillus sp. KLDS 1.0703. RNAcentral describes it as "bacterial SSU rRNA". It matches the Rfam family "Bacterial small subunit ribosomal RNA". The record is from RNAcentral. Lineage: Bacteria; Bacillati; Bacillota; Bacilli; Lactobacillales; Lactobacillaceae.
AUAUUGAUGGCGGCGUGCUAUACAUGCAAGUCGAACGAACUCUGGUAUUGAUUGGUGCUUGCAUCAUGAUUUACAUUUGAGUGAGUGGCGAACUGGUGAGUAACACGUGGGAAACCUGCCCAGAAGCGGGGGAUAACACCUGGAAACAGAUGCUAAUACCGCAUAACAACUUGGACCGCAUGGUCCGAGUUUGAAAGAUGGCUUCGGCUAUCACUUUUGGAUGGUCCCGCGGCGUAUUAGCUAGAUGGUGGGGUAACGGCUCACCAUGGCAAUGAUACGUAGCCGACCUGAGAGGGUAAUCGGCCACAUUGGGACUGAGACACGGCCCAAACUCCUACGGGAGGCAGCAGUAGGGAAUCUUCCACAAUGGACGAAAGUCUGAUGGAGCAACGCCGCGUGAGUGAAGAAGGGUUUCGGCUCGUAAAACUCUGUUGUUAAAGAAGAACAUAUCUGAGAGUAACUGUUCAGGUAUUGACGGUAUUUAACCAGAAAGCCACGGCUAACUACGUGCCAGCAGCCGCGGUAAUACGUAGGUGGCAAGCGUUGUCCGGAUUUAUUGGGCGUAAAGCGAGCGCAGGCGGUUUUUUAAGUCUGAUGUGAAAGCCUUCGGCUCAACCGAAGAAGUGCAUCGGAAACUGGGAAACUUGAGUGCAGAAGAGGACAGUGGAACUCCAUGUGUAGCGGUGAAAUGCGUAGAUAUAUGGAAGAACACCAGUGGCGAAGGCGGCUGUCUGGUCUGUAACUGACGCUGAGGCUCGAAAGUAUGGGUAGCAAACAGGAUUAGAUACCCUGGUAGUCCAUACCGUAAACGAUGAAUGCUAAGUGUUGGAGGGUUUCCGCCCUUCAGUGCUGCAGCUAACGCAUUAAGCAUUCCGCCUGGGGAGUACGGCCGCAAGGCUGAAACUCAAAGGAAUUGACGGGGGCCCGCACAAGCGGUGGAGCAUGUGGUUUAAUUCGAAGCUACGCGAAGAACCUUACCAGGUCUUGACAUACUAUGCAAAUCUAAGAGAUUAGACGUUCCCUUCGGGGACAUGGAUACAGGUGGUGCAUGGUUGUCGUCAGCUCGUGUCGUGAGAUGUUGGGUUAAGUCCCGCAACGAGCGCAACCCUUAUUAUCAGUUGCCAGCAUUAAGUUGGGCACUCUGGUGAGACUGCCGGUGACAAACCGGAGGAAGGUGGGGAUGACGUCAAAUCAUCAUGCCCCUUAUGACCUGGGCUACACACGUGCUACAAUGGAUGGUACAACGAGUUGCGAACUCGCGAGAGUAAGCUAAUCUCUUAAAGCCAUUCUCAGUUCGGAUUGUAGGCUGCAACUCGCCUACAUGAAGUCGGAAUCGCUAGUAAUCGCGGAUCAGCAUGCCGCGGUGAAUACGUUCCCGGGCCUUGUACACACCGCCCGUCACACCAUGAGAGUUUGUAACACCCAAAGUCGGUGGGGUAACCUUUUAGGAACCAGCCGCCUAAGGUGACAGAUUAGG